Molecule: ribosomal RNA, 381 nt
Filed under: uncultured eukaryote
Lineage: Eukaryota
Description: SSU rRNA
Rfam family: Eukaryotic small subunit ribosomal RNA
Source: RNAcentral
AGCUCCAAUAGCGUAUAUUAAAGUUGUUGCGGUUAAAAAGCUCGUAGUUGGAUUUCUGUUGAGGACGACCGGUCCGCCCUCUGGGUGAGCAUCUGGCUCGGCCUUGGCAUCUUCUUGGUGAACGUAGCUGCACUUGACUGUGUGGUACGGUAACCAGGACUUUUACUUUGAGGAAAUUAGAGUGUUUCAAGCAGGCAUACGCCUUGAAUACAUUAGCAUGGAAUAAUAAGAUAGGACCUCGGUUCUAUUUUGUUGGUUUCUAGAGCUGAGGUAAUGAUUAAUAGGGAUAGUUGGGGGCAUUCGUAUUUAACUGUCAGAGGUGAAAAAAUUGGAUUUGUUAAAGACGAACUACUGCGAAAGCAUUUGCCAAGGAUGUUUUCA